Molecule: ribosomal RNA, 507 nt
Filed under: uncultured bacterium
Lineage: Bacteria
Description: bacterial SSU rRNA
Rfam family: Bacterial small subunit ribosomal RNA
Source: RNAcentral
GAACGUGCCCAGUCGUGGGGGAUAACGCAGCGAAAGCUGUGCUAAUACCGCAUACGAUCUCUGGAUGAAAGCGGGGGACUCUGCAAAGAGCCUCGCGCGAUUGGAGCGGCCGAUAUCAGAUUAGCUAGUUGGCGGGGUAAAAGCCCACCAAGGCUACGAUCUGUAGCUGGUCUGAGAGGACGACCAGCCACACUGGAACUGAGACACGGUCCAGACUCCUACGGGAGGCAGCAGUGGGGAAUUUUGGACAAUGGGCGCAAGCCUGAUCCAGCAAUGCCGCGUGCAGGAUGAAGGCCUUCGGGUUGUAAACUGCUUUUGUACGGAGCGAAACGGUCUGCCCUAAUACGGCAGGCUAAUGACGGUACCGUAAGAAUAAGCACCGGCUAACUACGUGCCAGCAGCCGCGGUAAUACGUAGGGUGCGAGCGUUAAUCGGAAUUACUGGGCGUAAAGCGUGCGCAGGCGGUUAUAUAAGACAGAUGUGAAAUCCCCGGGCUCAACCUGGGAC